Molecule: unclassified non-coding RNA, 414 nt
Filed under: soil metagenome
Description: partial contains 5.8S ribosomal RNA, internal transcribed spacer 2, and large subunit ribosomal RNA
Rfam family: 5.8S ribosomal RNA (bases 5-119)
Source: RNAcentral
GAUGAGAACGCAGCGAAAUGCGAUAAGUAAUGUGAAUUGCAGAAUUCAGUGAAUCAUCGAAUCUUUGAACGCACCUUGCACUCCUUGGUAUUCCGAGGAGUACGCCUGUUCGAGUGUUAUGAAGCUCUCAAAACGCAAUUGGCUUAAAACCUGAUUGUUGUUUUGGAUUUGAACUUUGCCGUGUUAUAACGGCUGGUUUUAAAAGUAUUAGCUGGUACUAGAACGAAUUGGUUCUACUCAACGUGAUAAUUAUCUGAUCGUUGAGGACAUUCCUUUCACGAGGAAUGGCCAUAGUAAAUUCAAUGGACUGCUUCUAAUCUGGCUUUAAUUCUUUAUUGGAUUAACCACUUUUCAAAUCUGACCUCGAAUCAGGUGGGACUACCCGCUGAACUUAAGCAUAUCAAUAGCGGAGGA